GAUGAACGCUGGCGGCGUGCUUAACACAUGCAAGUCGAACGGAAAGGCCGAAGCUUGCUUCGGUCCUCGAGUGGCGAACGGGUGAGUAACACGCGGGUGAUCUGCCCUGUACUUCGGGAUAAGCUUGGGAAACUGGGUCUAAUACCGGAUAUGACGAUCUCUUGGAUGGGGUUGUGGAAAGCUUUUGCGGUAUGGGAUGAGCUCGCGGCCUAUCAGCUUGUUGGUGGGGCAAUGGCCUACCAAGGCGUCGACGGGUAGCCGGCCUGAGAGGGUGUACGGCCACAUUGGGACUGAGAUACGGCCCAGACUCCUACGGGAGGCAGCAGUGGGGAAUAUUGCACAAUGGGCGCAAGCCUGAUGCAGCGACGCCGCGUGGGGGAUGACGGCCUUCGGGUUGUAAACUCCUUUCGCAAUCGACGAAGCCUUUUGGUGACGGUAGGUUGAGAAGAAGCACCGGCUAACUACGUG
RNAcentral lists this ribosomal RNA (468 nucleotides) under uncultured bacterium. RNAcentral describes it as "partial 16S ribosomal RNA". It matches the Rfam family "Bacterial small subunit ribosomal RNA", at positions 28 to 507 of the family's 1533-position model. The record is from RNAcentral.